AGAGUUUGAUCCUGGCUCAGGAUCAACGCUGGCGGCGUGCCUAAUGCAUGCAAGUCGAAUGCGCGCCUCUUCGGAGGCGUGGCGUGGCGGACGGGUGAGGAACACGUGGGCAACCUGCCCUGGGGCGGGGGGUAGCCCUCGGAAACGAGGGGUAAUUCCGCAUACGCUCAGGCAUCACGAGGGUGGCUGAGGAAAGGGCUCGGAAGGGCUCACCCCAGGAGGGGGCUGCGGCCGAUUAGCUAGUUGGGGGGGUAACGGCCUCCCAAGGCGAUGAUCGGUAGCCGGCCUGAGAGGGUGACCGGCCACACUGGGACUGAGACACGGCCCAGACUCCUACGGGAGGCAGCAGUGGGGAAUAUUGGACAAUGGGCGGAAGCCUGAUCCAGCAACGCCGCGUGAGGGAUGACGGCCUUCGGGUUGUAAACCUCUUUCACCAUUGACGAAGCUGCAUCUUUUUGGGUGUGGUGACGGUAGGUGGGGAAGAAGCACCGGCCAACUACGUGCCAGCAGCGGCGGUAAUAC
This 522-nucleotide ribosomal RNA is filed under the name uncultured bacterium. RNAcentral describes it as "bacterial SSU rRNA". It matches the Rfam family "Bacterial small subunit ribosomal RNA", at positions 8 to 526 of the family's 1533-position model. The record is from RNAcentral.